GGAUGUGAGGGGGAUCUGGCUGCAAUAUAUGUCACCCCAUUGAUCACCAAGGUUGAUUUAACUGAUCUGCCUGGCUAGGCAAGUUUCCCCCUUCCUCACUGCUCCAUCCCUUCUGAAGCUGCAUGCUUGGGGGAAGAGGAUGAAGAGGAUGGGGGAAGACCAUUCCAGGUAGAAGGAGUGUACCAAUCUCCAGCCAAGAGUAUAUAGUACCUGUGCUCCCAUGCUAGAACCUCUGAACAAACUCAAGUUUCUUUAAAAAUUAUACUGAGAAAACUACAGAACUCUGUAGAGAUUCCCAGUCAUCCAGGUCAUGG
This 314-nucleotide small nuclear RNA is filed under the name Notechis scutatus (mainland tiger snake). RNAcentral describes it as "7SK RNA (ENSNSUG00000010181.1)". It matches the Rfam family "7SK RNA". Rfam says of the family: 7SK was discovered as an abundant small nuclear RNA in the mid-70s but a possible function has only recently been suggested. Two independent studies have found that 7SK RNA binds the CDK9/cyclin T complex (known as elongation factor P-TEFb). The record is from Rfam by way of RNAcentral. Lineage: Eukaryota; Metazoa; Chordata; Lepidosauria; Squamata; Elapidae.